CCUACGGGUGUCAGCAGUGAGGAAUAUUGGUCAAUGGACGAGAGUCUGAACCAGCCAAGUAGCGUGAAGGAUGAAUGCCCUAUGGGUUGUAAACUUCUUCUAUAUGGGAAUAAACUGUUCCACGUGUGGGAUUUUGUAUGUACCAUAUGAAUAAGGAUCGGCUAACUCCGUUCCAGCAGCCGCGGUAAUACGGAGGAUCAGAGCUUUAUCGGGAUUGAUUGGGUUUAAAGGGAGAGUAGGUGGAUUGUUAAGUCAGUUGUGAAAGUUUGCGGCUCAACCGUAAAAUUGCAGUUGAAGAUGGCAGUCUGGAGUACAGUAGAGGUGGGCGGAAUUCGUGGUGUAGCGGUGAAAUGCUUAGAUAUCACGAAGAACUCCGAUUGCGAAGGCAGCUCACUGGACUGCAACUGACACUGAGGCUCGAAAGUGUGGGUAUCAAACAGGAUUAGAUACCCCAGUAGUC
Molecule: ribosomal RNA, 460 nt
Filed under: uncultured bacterium
Lineage: Bacteria
Description: partial 16S ribosomal RNA
Rfam family: Bacterial small subunit ribosomal RNA
Source: RNAcentral